Molecule: ribosomal RNA, 920 nt
Filed under: uncultured bacterium
Lineage: Bacteria
Description: bacterial SSU rRNA
Rfam family: Bacterial small subunit ribosomal RNA
Source: RNAcentral
GCAGCACGGGAGCAAUCCUGGUGGCGAGUGGCGAACGGGUGAGUAAUACAUCGGAACGUGCCCAGUAGUGGGGGAUAGCCCGGCGAAAGCCGGAUUAAUACCGCAUACGACCUACGGGUGAAAGCGGGGGACCGCAAGGCCUCGCGCUAUUGGAGCGGCCGAUGUCAGAUUAGCUUGUUGGUGGGGUAAAAGCCUACCAAGGCGACGAUCUGUAGCUGGUCUGAGAGGACGACCAGCCACACUGGAACUGAGACACGGUCCAGACUCCUACGGGAGGCAGCAGUGGGGAAUUUUGGACAAUGGGCGCAAGCCUGAUCCAGCCAUGCCGCGUGUGGGAAGAAGGCCUUCGGGUUGUAAACCACUUUUGUCAGGGAAGAAACGGCCUUUUCUAAUAAAGAGGGCUAAUGACGGUACCUGAAGAAUAAGCACCGGCUAACUACGUGCCAGCAGCCGCGGUAAUACGUAGGGUGCAAGCGUUAAUCGGAAUUACUGGGCGUAAAGCGUGCGCAGGCGGCUUUGCAAGACAGAUGUGAAAUCCCCGGGCUCAACCUGGGAACUGCAUUUGUGACUGCAAGGCUGGAGUACGGCAGAGGGGGAUGGAAUUCCGCGUGUAGCAGUGAAAUGCGUAGAUAUGCGGAGGAACACCGAUGGCGAAGGCAAUCCCCUGGGCCUGUACUGACGCUCAUGCACGAAAGCGUGGGGAGCAAACAGGAUUAGAUACCCUGGUAGUCCACGCCCUAAACGAUGUCAACUGGUUGUUGGGANGGUUUCUUCUCAGUAACGAAGCUAACGCGUGAAGUUGACCGCCUGGGGAGUACGGCCGCANGGUUGAAACUCAAANGAAUUGACGGGGACCNGCACAAGCGGUGGAUGAUGNNGGUUUAAUUCGAUGCNNCGCNAAAAACCUUUACCUANCCUUG